This 500-nucleotide small RNA is filed under the name Rattus norvegicus (Norway rat). RNAcentral describes it as "uncharacterized LOC108350673". The record is from RNAcentral. Lineage: Eukaryota; Metazoa; Chordata; Mammalia; Rodentia; Muridae.
GAGGGUCUUUUAUCUCCUUUUAAGAGGAUAAAGAGAAGUUGAAGGGUGCUUGUGGCAGGGUCAAAGCCAACUGAGGUUGCCCAAAAGCUCUGGAGGGAAGCGAGAGUUAACUUUUGAGGGAUGGAAUCGCCCCUUCCUGGAGACCCUGUCGGCUGUCUGAACUGGCCUGGUUACUCUCCUAAUCUGCAAGGGCAUUUGAAAUAGAUCAUGAGAGGUAGCACAGCAAUUUUCAUUCCAUCAUAUCAGGUGAAAUUGCUGUCUCUGGAAAAGAAAAGAAAAUUUAUAUCUGGUAUGAAAUCUUCCAUCGUUUAGAGCAAGUAUCAAUCUUUACUUUCAAUCCAUUUGCCACAGUCAGCCAGCAUCACUCAAAACAAAUGAAGCUGUUCUGUAAAUUCUUCACAGUGUAAAAUGAACUCUUUAACUUAUUGCUGGGCAUUAAAAUGAACUUUCCAAUAAAAAUACCGACUAGGUAUCCAUUGUAAGCCUCCAAAAAAGGUUUC